RNAcentral lists this ribosomal RNA (733 nucleotides) under Micrococcus luteus. RNAcentral's name for it is "bacterial SSU rRNA". It matches the Rfam family "Bacterial small subunit ribosomal RNA", at positions 70 to 817 of the family's 1533-position model. The record is from RNAcentral. Lineage: Bacteria; Bacillati; Actinomycetota; Actinomycetes; Micrococcales; Micrococcaceae.
GAAGCCCAGCUUGCUGGGUGGAUUAGUGGCGAACGGGUGAGUAACACGUGAGUAACCUGCCCUUAACUCUGGGAUAAGCCUGGGAAACUGGGUCUAAUACCGGAUAGGAGCGUCCACCGCAUGGUGGGUGUUGGAAAGAUUUAUCGGUUUUGGAUGGACUCGCGGCCUAUCAGCUUGUUGGUGAGGUAAUGGCUCACCAAGGCGACGACGGGUAGCCGGCCUGAGAGGGUGACCGGCCACACUGGGACUGAGACACGGCCCAGACUCCUACGGGAGGCAGCAGUGGGGAAUAUUGCACAAUGGGCGAAAGCCUGAUGCAGCGACGCCGCGUGAGGGAUGACGGCCUUCGGGUUGUAAACCUCUUUCAGUAGGGAAGAAGCGAAAGUGACGGUACCUGCAGAAGAAGCACCGGCUAACUACGUGCCAGCAGCCGCGGUAAUACGUAGGGUGCGAGCGUUAUCCGGAAUUAUUGGGCGUAAAGAGCUCGUAGGCGGUUUGUCGCGUCUGUCGUGAAAGUCCGGGGCUUAACCCCGGAUCUGCGGUGGGUACGGGCAGACUAGAGUGCAGUAGGGGAGACUGGAAUUCCUGGUGUAGCGGUGGAAUGCGCAGAUAUCAGGAGGAACACCGAUGGCGAAGGCAGGUCUCUGGGCUGUAACUGACGCUGAGGAGCGAAAGCAUGGGGAGCGAACAGGAUUAGAUACCCUGGUAGUCCAUGCCGUAAACGUUGGGCACU